UGGGGAAUAUUGCACAAUGGGCGCAAGCCUGAUGCAGCCAUGCCGCGUGUGUGAAGAAGGCCUUCGGGUUGUAAAGCACUUUCAGCGAGGAGGAAGGGUUCAGUGUUAAUAGCACUGUUCAUUGACGUUACUCGCAGAAGAAGCACCGGCUAACUCCGUGCCAGCAGCCGCGGUAAUACGGAGGGUGCAAGCGUUAAUCGGAAUUACUGGGCGUAAAGCGCACGCAGGCGGUUUGUUAAGUCAGAUGUGAAAUCCCCGCGCUUAACGUGGGAACUGCAUUGAAACUGGCAAGCUAGAGUCUUGUAGAGGGGGGUAGAAUUCCAGGUGUAGCGGUGAAAUGCGUAGAGAUCUGGAGGAAUACCGGUGGCGAAGGCGGCCCCCUGGACAAAGACUGACGCUCAGGUGCGAAAG
This 411-nucleotide ribosomal RNA is filed under the name uncultured bacterium. Its description in RNAcentral is "partial 16S ribosomal RNA". It matches the Rfam family "Bacterial small subunit ribosomal RNA", at positions 355 to 759 of the family's 1533-position model. The record is from RNAcentral.